GAUGAACGCUGGCGGUAUGCUUAACACAUGCAAGUCGAACGGACUCUUCGGAGUUAGUGGCGGACGGGUGCGUAACGCGUGAGAAUCUGGCUUUGGGCUCGGGACAACCACUGGAAACGGUGGCUAAUACCGGAUGUGCCGAGAGGUAAAAGAGAAAUUGCCUGAAGAAGAGCUCGCGUCUGAUUAGCUAGUUGGUGAGGUAAAGGCUCACCAAGGCAGCGAUCAGUAGCUGGUCUGAGAGGAUGACCAGCCACACUGGGACUGAGACACGGCCCAGACUCCUACGGGAGGCAGCAGUGGGGAAUUUUCCGCAAUGGGCGAAAGCCUGACGGAGCAAUACCGCGUGAGGGAAGAAGGCUCUUGGGUUGUAAACCUCUUUUCUUAGGGAAGAACAAAAUGACGGUACCUAAGGAAUCAGCAUCGGCUAACUCCGUG
RNAcentral lists this ribosomal RNA (435 nucleotides) under uncultured bacterium. RNAcentral's name for it is "partial 16S ribosomal RNA". It matches the Rfam family "Bacterial small subunit ribosomal RNA", at positions 28 to 507 of the family's 1533-position model. The record is from RNAcentral.